This 478-nucleotide ribosomal RNA is filed under the name uncultured bacterium. RNAcentral describes it as "bacterial SSU rRNA". It matches the Rfam family "Bacterial small subunit ribosomal RNA", at positions 28 to 505 of the family's 1533-position model. The record is from RNAcentral.
GACGAACGCUGGCGGCGUGCCUAACACAUGCAAGUCGAGCGGGGAUUUACGAAUGAAGUUUUCGGAUGGAUUUUGUAAGUUCUAGCGGCGGACGGGUGAGUAACGCGUGAGCAACCUGCCUAUCACUGGGGAAUAACGCAUCGAAAGGUGUGCUAAUACCGCAUGAGACCACAUGAUCGCAUGGUCGAGGGGUCAAAGAUUUAUCGGUGAUAGAUGGGCUCGCGUCUGAUUAGCUAGUUGGGGGUGUAAUGGACCACCAAGGCGACGAUCAGUAGCUGGUUUGAGAGGAUGAUCAGCCACAAUGGGACUGAGACACGGCCCAUACUCCUACGGGAGGCAGCAGUAGGGAAUUUUGCGCAAUGGGCGAAAGCCUGACGCAGCAACGCCGCGUGAUUGAUGAAGCCCUUCGGGGUGUAAAGAUCUGUCAGUAGGGACGAACAAAUGACGGUACCUACAGAGGAAGCAUCGGCUAACUCCG